RNAcentral lists this ribosomal RNA (2339 nucleotides) under Clostridium beijerinckii. RNAcentral's name for it is "partial 23S ribosomal RNA". It matches the Rfam family "Bacterial large subunit ribosomal RNA", at positions 580 to 2925 of the family's 2925-position model. Lineage: Bacteria; Bacillati; Bacillota; Clostridia; Eubacteriales; Clostridiaceae. The record is from RNAcentral.
CACCUUAUGUGUGUGAUGAUGUGCUUUUUGUAGAACGAGCCAACGAGUUACGGUAUGUAGCGAGGUUAAGUACUUAAGGUACGGAGCCGAAGGGAAACCGAGUCUUAAUAGGGCGACUAGUGCCAUGCUGUAGACCCGAAACCGGGUGACCUAUCCAUGGCCAGGUUGAAGCGAGGGUAAAACCUCGUGGAGGACCGAACCACGUUGCUGUUGAAAAAGCAUGGGAUGAGCUGUGGAUAGCGGAGAAAUUCCAAUCGAACUCGGAUAUAGCUGGUUCUCCUCGAAAUAGCUUUAGGGCUAGCGUCGGAAAAUGUGAGUAGUGGAGGUAGAGCACUGAAUAGGCUAGGGGGCAUAGCGCUUACGAACCUUAUCAAACUCCGAAUGCCACAUACUAUCAGUCCGGCAGUCAGACUAUGAAAGAUAAGUUCCAUGGUCAAAAGGGAAACAGCCCAGAUCGUCAGCUAAGGUCCCAAAGUGUAAGUUAAGUGGAAAAGGAUGUGGGAUUUCUAAGACAACUAGGAUGUUUGGCUUAGAAGCAGCCACUCAUUAAAAGAGUGCGUAAUAGCUCACUAGUCAAGAGAUCCUGCGCCGAAAAUGUCCGGGGCUCAAACUUACCACCGAAGCUACGGGUUCACGCUUAUGCGUGAGCGGUAGAGGAGCGUCGUAAUCGGGCUGAAGUCGUACCGUAAGGAGCGGUGGACUGAUUACGAGUGAGAAUGUUGGCAUUAGUAGCGAGAUGUAGGCGAGAAUCCUACAGGCCGAAUAUCUAAGGUUUCCUGAGUAAAGUUUGUCUUCUCAGGGUUAGUCGGGACCUAAGGCGAGGCCGAAAAGGCGUAGUCGAUGGACAAUUGGUUGAUAUUCCAAUACCACUAUAAUCGUUAUUAUCGAUGGUGUGACGGAGAAGGAUAGGAUGUGCUAGCUAUUGGAUGCUAGUCUAAGCGUUUAGGGAGUUGGGAUUGGCAAAUCCGUUCCAACAAUUCUGAGGCGUGAUGGGGAAGGUUCUACGGAACCGAAGUAUCUGAUUCCAUGCUUCCAAGAAAAGCAUCUAGAGAGAGAAGUAGUGCCCGUACCGCAAACCGACACAGGUAGAUGAGGAGAGAAUCCUAAGGCCGACGGAAGAAUUGCAGUUAAGGAACUAGGCAAAUUGACCCCGUAACUUCGGGAGAAGGGGUGCCUGAGAAAUCAGGCCGCAGAGAAUAGGCACAAGCAACUGUUUAACAAAAACACAGGUCUCUGCUAAAGCGAAAGCUGAUGUAUAGGGGCUGACGCCUGCCCGGUGCUGGAAGGUUAAGGGGAACACUUAGUGGUAACGCGAAGGUGUGAACUUAAGCCCCAGUAAACGGCGGCCGUAACUAUAACGGUCCUAAGGUAGCGAAAUUCCUUGUCAGGUAAGUUCUGACCCGCACGAAUGGCGUAAUGACUUGUGCACUGUCUCAACUGCAAAUCCGGCGAAGUUGUAGUGCGAGUGAAGAUGCUCGCUACCCGCGAUUGGACGGAAAGACCCCGUAGAGCUUUACUGUAGCUUAGCAUUGAAUUUCGGUAUUGUCUGUACAGGAUAGGUGGGAGACUGGGAAACUAGGGCGUCAGCCUUGGUGGAGUCGUUGUUGGGAUACCACCCUGAUAGUAUUGAAGUUCUAACUGGAUGCCAUGAAACUGGUGACAGGACAUUGUUAGGUGGGCAGUUUGACUGGGGCGGUCGCCUCCUAAAAUGUAACGGAGGCGCCCAAAGGUUCCCUCAGAACGGUCGGAAAUCGUUCGAAGAGUGUAAAGGCAGAAGGGAGCCUGACUGCGACACCUACAAGUGGAGCAGGGACGAAAGUCGGGCUUAGUGAUCCGGUGGUACCUCGUGGGAGGGCCAUCGCUCAACGGAUAAAAGCUACCUCGGGGAUAACAGGCUGAUCUCCCCCAAGAGUUCACAUCGACGGGGAGGUUUGGCACCUCGAUGUCGGCUCGUCGCAUCCUGGGGCUGAAGUAGGUCCCAAGGGUUGGGCUGUUCGCCCAUUAAAGCGGCACGCGAGCUGGGUUCAGAACGUCGUGAGACAGUUCGGUCCCUAUCCGUCGCGGGCGUAGGAAAUUUGAGAGGAGCUGUCCUUAGUACGAGAGGACCGGGAUGGACUGACCUAUGGUGUACCAGUUGUUUCGCCAGAAGCAUAGCUGGGUAGCUAAGUCGGGAAGGGAUAAACGCUGAAAGCAUCUAAGUGUGAAGCCCACCUCAAGAUGAGAUUUCCCAUAGCAUAAGCUAGUAAGACCCCUUGAAGACUACAAGGUUGAUAGGUCAGAGGUGUAAGUGCGGCAACGUAUUUAGCUGACUGAUACUAAUAGGUCGAGGGCUUGACCAA